This 416-nucleotide ribosomal RNA is filed under the name Pseudomonas oryzihabitans. Its description in RNAcentral is "bacterial SSU rRNA". It matches the Rfam family "Bacterial small subunit ribosomal RNA", at positions 337 to 745 of the family's 1533-position model. Lineage: Bacteria; Pseudomonadati; Pseudomonadota; Gammaproteobacteria; Pseudomonadales; Pseudomonadaceae. The record is from RNAcentral.
UCCUACGGGGGGCUGCAGUGGGGAAUAUUGGACAAUGGGCGAAAGCCUGAUCCAGCCAUGCCGCGUGUGUGAAGAAGGCCUUCGGGUCGUAAAGCACUUUAAGUUGGGAGGAAGGGCUCAUAGCGAAUACCUGUGAGUUUUGACGUUACCAACAGAAUAAGCACCGGCUAACUUCGUGCCAGCAGCCGCGGUAAUACGAAGGGUGCAAGCGUUAAUCGGAAUUACUGGGCGUAAAGCGCGCGUAGGUGGCUUGAUAAGUUGGAUGUGAAAUCCCCGGGCUCAACCUGGGAACUGCAUCCAAAACUGUCUGGCUAGAGUGCGGUAGAGGGUAGUGGAAUUUCCAGUGUAGCGGUGAAAUGCGUAGAUAUUGGAAGGAACACCAGUGGCGAAGGCGACUACCUGGACUGACACUGACA